UACAUCAUUUUAAUUUUAUAAAAACUAGGCAUAAACUAGCCACGCUAUUGGCUAAAUUAUGAAACUUUUGCCGCGAACAGUCGCAGAAGUCUAAUGUAGUACCGUUUUCUGCGUCUGAAGCCUGAACAACGCAUGGUUAAUAAUUCAUUACCAGGCUAUGGUGGUAUCUGACGCGUGGAUUUGUAGGAAAUUUUAUAUGAGAAUAAUUAGUUUUUUGUUGGCAGCUAUUGUCGAUUUAGAUGUUUUAUUUAAUAAAAACGUGUUUUUGUACCUAAAAUAUACUGUUUCAUGUUACAGGAACAUCAGAAAAGCUCUGGAUGCCAUGUCUUAUGGAGCAUUCGUCAUAUCAACUGUUUUUCAGGAUGUAGCGGUAUCUCGACGGAGAGUAAAAGUGCCUUUUUCCACGAGAAACGGAGACAGUGUGUUGGUGUUGAUAGCGGAAGGAUUUAUGACAAUGAAUCAAUUAGCCAAUAAAUGAGAGAAAAUGGGAGUUAAUUGUAAUGCUGGCUACUCAAACACCUCGUGACUACCAUGGUAUCGUUUUCCCUGGAUUUGUUCCAUGAUUUGUUGUUAAUAUCUUGCAACAUCAUGCAGUUAAUUUUCGACCGAUGAAUGAAUGCAACUGCAAAUUUUGGAUCUCACUGAAACAUGAAUUGUACCGUUUUUUCCUGCAUUUGGUUUACUUUUCACACCUGUAAACUGGAACGUUAUAUUCUGCAACUAAUUAAGAUCGACGAUGGAGAUGACAAGGAACACCCUGUAGUUAAAAUACUUCUUUAUCUUGCAUGCUCUAUCCAUUAGAAUUAAU
This is a long non-coding RNA of Agrilus planipennis (emerald ash borer), 808 nucleotides long. RefSeq lists it as uncharacterized. The record is from RefSeq and is a predicted model, not a curated record. The transcript is spliced from 3 exons. NCBI's taxonomy places the organism in Eukaryota, Metazoa, Arthropoda, Insecta, Coleoptera, Buprestidae.